UGGCCAGUGAUGAAAUUCUAGUUGUACAGACACUACGAGUGAAAUGAACUGCAACAACACCCAUAGAAUCUCUGAGGCCU
This 80-nucleotide small nucleolar RNA is filed under the name Oryza brachyantha (malo sina). Its description in RNAcentral is "snoRNA snoZ163". It matches the Rfam family "Small nucleolar RNA Z163/Z177 family". From Rfam's summary of the family: This family of plant snoRNAs belong to the C/D class of snoRNA which contain the C (UGAUGA) and D (CUGA) box motifs. This family includes rice snoRNA Z163 and Z177. Most of the members of the box C/D family function in directing site-specific 2'-O-methylation of substrate RNAs. The record is from Rfam by way of RNAcentral. Lineage: Eukaryota; Viridiplantae; Streptophyta; Magnoliopsida; Poales; Poaceae.